GAUUAGCUUGCUAAUUUGCUGACGAGUGGCGGACGGGUGAGUAAUGCUUGGGAAUCUAGCUUAUGGAGGGGGAUAACUACGGGAAACUGUAGCUAAUACCGCGUAAAAUCUUCGGAUUAAAGGGUGGGACUUUCGGGCCACCUGCCAUAAGAUGAGCCCAAGUGGGAUUAGGUAGUUGGUUAGGUAAAGGCUGACCAAGCCGACGAUCUCUAGCUGGUCUGAGAGGAUGACCAGCCACACUGGAACUGAGACACGGUCCAGACUCCUACGGGAGGCAGCAGUGGGGAAUAUUGCACAAUGGGGGGAACCCUGAUGCAGCCAUGCCGCGUGAAUGAAGAAGGCCUUCGGGUUGUAAAGUUCUUUCGGUGACGAGGAAGGUUGAUAGGUUAAUAGCCUAUCAAAUUGACGUUAAUCACAGAAGAAGCACCGGCUAACUCCGUGCCAGCAGCCGCGGUAAUACGGGGGGUGCGAGCGUUAAUCGGAAUAACUGGGCGUAAAGGGCACGCAGGCGGUGACUUAAGUGAGAUGUGAAAGCCCCCGGGCUUAACCUGGGAAUUGCAUUUCAUACUGGGUCGCUAGAGUACUUUAGGGAGGGGUAGAAUUCCACGUGUAGCGGUGAAAUGCGUAGAGAUGUGGAGGAAUACCGAAGGCGAAGGCAGCCCCUUGGGAAUGUACUGACGCUCAUGUGCGAAAGCGUGGGGAGCAAACAGGAUU
Molecule: ribosomal RNA, 714 nt
Filed under: uncultured Pasteurellales bacterium
Lineage: Bacteria; Pseudomonadati; Pseudomonadota; Gammaproteobacteria; Pasteurellales
Description: bacterial SSU rRNA
Rfam family: Bacterial small subunit ribosomal RNA
Source: RNAcentral